CGUUUUGGCCGCCUUCCCGAGCCCGGAUGCUCGGCCCGCUUUGAGGAAAGUCGAUCCUCGCGUCACCCUUGUCGUUUUGGUCCGCUCGGCUCGCUAAUCCGGUGAAUUUAGCUCACUAAACCUUGAUUAGACGGUUAAUGAUGCUUUAUGGGUGCUUAGUUUAUGUUAAGUGUUAUUAGGUAGUUAGUUUAAUUUAUUUAAGUGUAGAUUAUAUUAAGGUGUUUGAUUAACUUAAAUUGUGUUUAAUUUAAGGUUAAGUGAGUGUUUAUAUUAGUAUAAACCUUGAUGUGACAAAAAGGAAUUUACUUUUGAUUUAUUUAAAUAUCUCGAAAUUAUCGAAUAAUUAAAUAAUAUUUUAAUAUUUGAAACUAUUAAAAUAUUAUUAUUUAAUUAUUUUCGGAAUAAAUUAAAUUAUUUAUUAAACUCCAAAAAUUUUGUCGAGACCCUUAAAUUCUCAGAAUUUCGUGCCGGUCGUUGCUGUGUAGUCGGAUUUUGAAAUUGAUGAUUUGAUGUUAUAAAUUGAGCGUGGACCAUGAAAUAUAUGGAUAUUAUUAUUUAAUUAAUUUUCGGAAUAAACUUAAUUAUUUAAUAAAUUCUGAAAAUUAUUUGGGAACCUUAUUCUCUCAGAAUUUCGUGCUGAUCGCUGUUGUGUAUUUAGAAUUUGAAUUUGAUAAUUGAUUGUGGCAAAUGGAGUGUGAUUGUGAUAAAUAGGGAUUCUUUAUAAAAUUCUAAGUGUGGAAAUUGAUGGGAGAUUGGCUGUGAUUGACCACCUAUUAGAGGUCGUGCCCAGUGAGGCCGUGAUUGACCACCUAUUAGAAGUCGUGCCCAGUGAGGCCGUGAUGAACCACCUAUGAGAGGUCAUGCCCAGUGAGGCCGUGAUUAACCACCUAUUGGAGGUCGUGCCCAGCGAGGCCGUGAUGAACCACCUAUGAGAGGUCGUGCCCAGUGAGGCCGUGAUUGACCACCUAAUAGAGGUCGUGCCCAGUGAGGCCGUGAUUGACCACCUAAUAGAGGUCGUGCCCGAUGAGGCCGUGAAAUACCACCUAUUAGAGGUCGUGCCCAGUGGGGCCGUGAAUUGCCACAUGAUAAAGGUCGCGCCGAGCGGGGCCGUGAUGCCACUGAUUCUAAUUUUGCCGAGUAGGGCCGUGAUUGAGAGCAAUGAUUGAUUUGCUAGAAUGACAUGUAAUCGGCCGAGUCGAUUGAUCGCUGAGACGAUCCAAGUGGUUGAAUUGUUUGAUAAUGUGAUUGUGCCAUGGUUGUUUGGUUAUCAUAAUUGCACGUGGUUGGUUUAUAUAAAUUGUGCUAACCUGCAGAUAAAGGCUGAGGCGAGGUAAGUCUUCUGUGUGAUGUGGCUAGGCCACCCGGGGCGUAUUUUCUUUCUAAUAGGGGUUUAGGGGGUUGAACUUGCUGAGACAUCGUCUCAUCCCGGUUGUGGGAUUAAAAUUUCAGGUCCCUGGUGGACGGAGCAACCAGAUAGCUUUGGUUGGCUUUGAGGAGUUGCAGACGUGAAGUAAUAAGACUGGAGAACGUGUCCGACUUGUAGGUCGUAGGACAAUUCCUUUUUAAGAGCCGGUCUUGUGUAGACUGUUGGCCGUAGACUUCUGUUUGUAAUUCUUUUGAAUUAUGAAAGUGUUAUGUUGUGGUUUGUUUCCUGCUUUUCUAUCCCGUAUUUUAUUGUCAGGGGUUUUAUAAUACGUUCCGCUUGCGCAUUAAUAAAAUGAAUGGGGUCGGCGACACUACCUGGGAAUGUCGCAUUUUUGAUCGACCGUAGUGGGAUGUGCGCGCGCUCGGGGU
RNAcentral lists this long non-coding RNA (1794 nucleotides) under Eucalyptus grandis. RNAcentral describes it as "long non-coding RNA (EGRA_LNC007429)". Lineage: Eukaryota; Viridiplantae; Streptophyta; Magnoliopsida; Myrtales; Myrtaceae. The record is from RNAcentral.